AACGAACGCUGGCGGCAGGCCUAACACAUGCAAGUCGAGCGAGGACUUCGGUUCUAGCGGCGGACGAGUGAGUAACGCGUGGGAAUGUGCCCUUCUCUACGGAAUAGCCCUGGGAAACUGGGAGUAAUACCGUAUACGCCCUAUUGGGGAAAGAUUUAUCGGAGAAGGAUCAGCCCGCGUUGGAUUAGGUAGUUGGUGGGGUAAUGGCCUACCAAGCCGACGAUCCAUAGCUGGUUUGAGAGGAUGAUCAGCCACACUGGGACUGAGACACGGCCCAGACUCCUACGGGAGGCAGCAGUGGGGAAUCUUAGACAAUGGGGGCAACCCUGAUCUAGCCAUGCCGCGUGAGUGAUGAAGGCCUUAGGGUUGUAAAGCUCUUUCAGCUGGGAAGAUAAUGACGGUACCAGCAGAAGAAGCCCCGGCUAACUCCGUG
Molecule: ribosomal RNA, 433 nt
Filed under: uncultured bacterium
Lineage: Bacteria
Description: partial 16S ribosomal RNA
Rfam family: Bacterial small subunit ribosomal RNA
Source: RNAcentral